RNAcentral lists this long non-coding RNA (4064 nucleotides) under Sus scrofa (pig). Its description in RNAcentral is "lncRNA (ENSSSCG00000017834.5)". The record is from RNAcentral. Lineage: Eukaryota; Metazoa; Chordata; Mammalia; Artiodactyla; Suidae.
ACCAAGCUGGCCCGCUGGCCGCGCCUAGCCUGCCCAGGGCGCCCGCGGACCCGGAGUAGGCGUGGGGCCGGUGAAGCGGGAACCGGGGGAAGGCGGUCCCGGCCCCGGGCUAGGGACGCAGUUCGGGCCAUACAGGCGGGUCCCUAGGGCCGAGGGAGCCGGUCCCUACCCCCAGGGAGCGGACAAAGACGGCCCCUGCUCCCCAGCCCCUUCCAGCCGCCCCCGCCUUUUGUAUCCCCUUACGUCGCCGAAGCUUCGAGCUUUCCCCUCCACCAGGGAGGUCCUCCGCAGGGCCCAACGAAUGCACCUUUUUUUCCUGGAGAGGUCUCAUAGUACCGAUCCUUAUCUGGUCCCCACCCUGCCACUGGGAGGGGAAGGCGCGGGGGUCACGCCCUGCCCCUGGAAAGCUGACAAUCGUUUGUCGUUUGGCGGGAGGGGGAAGGCCUGGCUGGCAUACGGAAAGGAAGCAGAGUGACCUGACCCUUAGCAUCCUUAGGCCUUUCAGCUGCCCGCUGCGGCCUCCCCCAGCCCCGCACGGCUACCCUUCCCGCCGAGCCUCCUCCGAGGCUCGAGCUAGGGGCUAGAGGCUGGACCUUUUCCUUGGAAGCCGCUUCUCCCCUACCCUGCUGACAGGUCCUUACAGGUGAGCACGAAACACUUUAGAAGACGCCUCCUCCAGAGCCUCUGGUGGGGAAAGUGGACAGAUGAAAGUUUGAACUUCCCGAGGUUAGCACCCCUAGUCCCUUAGAGAGGAUUACAGGAGGGGUUUGAUGGCAGAUGCUGGUCGAGGGCUGUCUCCAGCUCAGUUCUACCCUAGAACGCUGACCUAGGUGUUUAGACUCCAGGUGCAGCCAGAGAUGAGCUGCCUGGUUAGGCUUAUGGAGGUGUUAGAAACUGCCUUCAGGAGGGAGCUGGGAACCUGAAAGCUGUCCUGGGGGUUUUCCUAGUCCUGUUUAUUGGUGCUAUUUUUGCCCAGCUUCCUAAUGAGCUGGCUGCACCCAGAGGCAGGAAGAAGGGCCCAGCUUCUUGGAAGCGGCAGCAAUUGACAGAGGCUAGAGUUUGCUAGAGAUUAGUUGUGAGGCACCACACGGUGGAAACACAGGUGAGGCUCCAGCCUGGCCUUUUCCAGGAAUGCCCCCAAUCCUAUCAGACCCGACAGUGAUGGGGUACUCAGUACCCUCUGUUUAGGUUGGGGAGUGACAAACUGGAAAUACUGCCCCACCGCCUAAUGUGUUUCCCCCUCACCCCCCGCCCCCAACUAAAAGCAGGAAGUGCAGCUCCAGUCUGGCUCAUUGCUCCCACCCUAGUCCAGCCUAGAAAGACAAACCCCUGGGACCCUGUCCUCUCAUGCCAUCCUCCUCUGUUGGUCUUGCAUCAAGUCCUAAGUGCCUGUGAGGUCUUCCAGGGGCUGCUGAGGGAGGACAUGGGGCAGGGAGAGGCCUUUGCCUCACUCCCAAGCAUCCCGUCCUGGCAGGUCCUGACCUGGCUGGGGCCAAGCCUUCAGUUUGUCACCCAGGAAUCCGGGAGGUUUCUAGGGGUAAUAAACCCUUUCCCCAUCGUGGCUCCAUGAAGAAGUGGCGGGGAAAGGUCCCCAGUUAUACCCUCUUUCACUGUAUAUAUUGGAGCAGGAAACCAGUGAGCCUACUCCCACCCCCAACAGACAUGCAGGCCUGGGAGUUCCCUUGUAGUGCAGCAGGUGAAGGAUCCAGCACUGGCACUGCAGCCCCCCCGCCCUCCGGUUGAAUUCCUGGCGGGGGGAACUUCCACAGGUUGUGGGUGUGGCCGAAAACAAACAAACAAAAACAUGCGGGGUCCCUCCCAGCUCAGGACUGCUGAGAUCUCGGAGAAAUACCAGGCCUGGUUUAGGUGUCCGCCACUGGGGCACCUUUGGUUUUGUUCUUUUUUUUUUUUUUUCCCUGUCUUUUUUUUUUUUUGGUCUUUUUGCCAUUUCUAGGGCCGCUUCACAGCAUAUGGAGGUUCCCAGGCUAAGGGUCGAAUCGGAGCUGUAGCCUCUGGCCUACACCAGAGCCACAGCAACGCAGGAUCCGAGCCGCGUCUGCAACCUACACCACAGUUCACGGCAACGCCGGAUCCUUAACCCACUAAGCAAGGCCAGGGAUCGAACCCGCAACCUUAUGGUUCGUAGUCGGAUUCAUUAAGCCCUGAGCCACGACGGGAACUCCUCCCCCUGUCUUUUUAGGCCUGGGCCAGUGACAUAUGGAAGUUCCCAGGCUAGGGGUUGAAUUGGAGCUGCAGCUGCCAGCGUACACCACAGCCGCAACAGCAGAUCUGAGCUGCCUCCAAGACCUAUGCUACAGCCUGUGGUAACACCAGAUUCCCAAUCCACUGAGUGAGGCCAGGGAUUGAACCCACAUCCUCAUGGAUACUCGUAGGGUUUUUAACCCGCUGAGCCACAACGGGAACUCCUGGGGCACCCCAGGGACAGACAGUGCUGCCGGUCUAACUUGGGCCCCAGCAAUGGCCUAGGGUCCUUGCUCUGCCUGCUCCCACCUCUUACACGCACACCCCCAGUCUCUGUGGAUGUGCCUCUGCCCUCUGACUCCCCACUGUACCCCUCCACCUGUUGCUCCCCUUUUCAGAAUGUGUCUGAGUGAGGAGGCCUCUCUCUGCUCUUGGCUGCACUCACUUGAAGGGGCCCAGAGGACUGGAAGGAGGGAAAGGGGGUCUUUCUGGAGGCGCCCAUCCAAACUCUCAUCUUCCACAACCAUACUUUUGGGGUGAACAGGGUGACUUUGUUGCAUCCGUUCUUCUACAGAGAUGGUGAAGUCCUUUACCCACCCACUCACCCGGUAAAAGCCAUAGCUACACCCGUCUGGCCUCCCCCCAGUGCUAUAGCAAUAGCCCUCUUCCUCCUCCCCUCCUGGGUACCCAAGGUGUCUGGCGGGGGGCCUCCACCCACACCCUACCCCACAGAUCCUCCGGUGGCCUGCCUGCCUCUCCCCAUCUGACCCCAUCGACACCUCCCACCUCCUGUCCCUCUCCCAGCCAUCAGAGAUAAUGGCGCUGAAUUGUUUGCGGGGUGCCUUGGAGAUGCCCCAGAUGAAAGGCCCUGAGUGCUGGGGCGGCUGACUCGCUGACUCUCAGCUGAGGUGUCAGGGUGCCUGGGAAAGGAAAGAAAGCAACCAACCCUUCCCCCCUCCACUCAGCAAGCUGGGGACGGGGCCAAGGAAAAUACAGGGUUCCAAUGAUAACAAAUCCCCCUUCCCCGUCCCUGUCCUGGACACAGUGGACAAGAGGCUUCCCUCCUCGCCCUGCCCCUGGGUUUGGAACAGAACCCUUGAGACAGCAGAAUAGGACUGGGAGUCAGUGACCUGCCCUUGGCCUCAGUGAUCCAAAAACUUCUCAGUCUGGCUCUCCCCCUCUCCUAUGCUGGGGGACCCACGCUGCCAAAGGAAAGACCCCCUCCCUUGAGCCCCUGAAAUGUUUGGGUAACUAGAAGGGAAAGGAUUGUUUCCUUCCCUCCCCUUGCCUCUCAUCGUGCCCCUCUUCUCCAGGGCACAAAUCCCCAUUGGGAGAGGGGCCUGUUGACAUGGACACUCAGGGGCCCUACCUGGAGCCAGGAGCUGCAGAUGGGGGCCCCUUCCCUGUUCUGGAAGCCAGCCAGGGACCUGUGGGCAAUGCAGCAUGAGGCUUUGUACCCCUGCCCCCCAUAUCGCACCCACAGUGGCCUGCAGUUUGGGGAACCAGUCCAGGGCUGAGAUGGGGUAGCCCUUCCCCAAACAAGCAGCAGACGAGAGGCCUCCCCUGUGAAGAGGAGGGGGGCCCAGAGGGCAUGGAGCAGCAUCUCCUCGUCGUGGAGAGCCGGGAUCUCGAAGCACCGUCUCCCUGAGGUGCCAACCUGGAGUGGGGACGUGCACGGCUUCAGAACCCCCUGGCAGGACCCCCAUGGACACGGCAGAGGGAUCCUGCUCCAAGUUCUCUGUUGGCUGCGCUUUUUAAUCCAAUGCUUUUCAGAGUGUAUCCACUCACCCACAGAAAUAGAGCCCUGUGCUUUAGGGGUGACUGUCAUAUGCCUUAUUCUUAAUAAAAUAUCUGAAAAACGC